GACGAACGCUGGCGGCGUGCUUAACACAUGCAAGUCGAACGGAAAGGCCCUGCUUGCAGGGUGCUCGAGUGGCGAACGGGUGAGUAACACGUGGGUGAUCUGCCCCUUACUUUGGGAUAAGCCUGGGAAACUGGGUCUAAUACUGGAUAGGACCAUGCUGUAGGUGGUGUGGUGGAAAGAUUAGUUUCGGUAAGGGAUGAGCUCGCGGCCUAUCAGCUUGUUGGUGGGGUAAUGGCCUACCAAGGCGUCGACGGGUAGCCGGCCUGAGAGGGUGGACGGCCACAUUGGGACUGAGAUACGGCCCAGACUCCUACGGGAGGCAGCAGUGGGGCAUAUUGCACAAUGGGCGCAAGCCUGAUGCAGCGACGCCGCGUGGGGGAUGACGGCCUUCGGGUUGUAAACUCCUUUCAGCCAUGACGAAGCCCUUGUGGUGACGGUAGUGGUAGAAGAAGCACCGGCUAACUACGUG
Molecule: ribosomal RNA, 469 nt
Filed under: uncultured bacterium
Lineage: Bacteria
Description: partial 16S ribosomal RNA
Rfam family: Bacterial small subunit ribosomal RNA
Source: RNAcentral